AACCACACCCGAUUUUAUUUUAUACAAAACUCGCUCCUUGUUUUGAAAUUCCAUCUUGUCGCCCAAGAAAACAAUAGCGAAUAUCAUUACAAAAUUCAUCAACAUCUUUCAGAUCUUCAUGUUCAAUCUCUGGAUCAUGUUUCCAUUUUGUUAAUCAUCGAAUCUUUACGUGUACUCACCUACGACAUCAAUGACGAGUAUUUGAAGAUGGCGGACAAAACAACACGCGAUACCUUGGAACAAUUUUUGCUACGAAUUUUACGAACAACAUCAUCAAAUUACCAUCUGUUGCUUCAAUUAAAACCCUAACACUCCGACGAUUGAACAUCUCCGCCUUCCUCCGCCGGUUGACAUCUCCGCCGAUCUCAUCUCCGCCGUUCUGAUCUCCAUCGAUUUUCCUCCGCCGAUCUGACAUCUCUGCCGAUCUCCGCCGAUUGAACAUCUCCGCCGAUCUGAAUCAUCGACGUCUCUGCCGCUCUGAAUCAUCGACGUCUUCGCCGGCACUGGAACGAUGGGUUGUAGUGUUAUAUAGAGUUAGAAAAUGGUAAUAUGGUGUUAUAUACCAUUCAUAGUGUUUUAUAGUCAUUCAUAGUGUUAUAAGUCAUUUGUAGUGUUAUAUCUUGUUUAUAGUGUUAUAUAGUUAUUGAAUGGUGUUAUAUAAUUAUUGAAUGGUGUUAUAUAU
This 682-nucleotide long non-coding RNA is filed under the name Helianthus annuus (common sunflower). Its description in RNAcentral is "hypothetical non coding rna". Lineage: Eukaryota; Viridiplantae; Streptophyta; Magnoliopsida; Asterales; Asteraceae. The record is from RNAcentral.